UAAAAUUUUAUUUAAAUUAAAUUAACUUCUCAAAAAAUACAUUAUUUUUUUUUUUCAAAAUCAUGUCAUAGAAUUAAUAAUUCAGUUUCAUGCCUUCAAUUAUAUCUUACAGUCAUACAAUUUUUCAUCAUCGGGUUUUCUACGGCCUCAAUGCACAUACUCAUUACAAAAUAAGGGUCUACACACACUUACCAAUGAAGUCUUCGCCAUCUUCUUCAACAAGUAGUGACUACUUCGGCACAACAGCACUGGGUUGUGAAGUUAUUAGGUCAUGACUUCCAGAUUAUUUAUAAGAUGGCUGUAACAAGGCUGCAGAUGCUCUAUCUUGUCGAGAGGAAGAAUUAGAAGUUAUUUCUAGACCUAGUUGAUUAGAAUUGGAUGACAUUGAUAUUGCCGUUCAACAGGAUUCUUUUUUGUAGAGGAUAAUUACUGAUUUGAAGAGGGAUCCUUCUUCCCAUGGAUACUUCUCUCUAAUACAAAAUAGGUUAGGCUACAUUGGAAUGUUGGUAAUUCCAGAACAUUCGCUUUUGGUUACCAGGUUACUUUAUGAAUUCCACUUUGCCCCUUAAGUUGGAAAUUCUAGAGCUUCUCCGACUUUCAGACAUCUAGCACCCAAUGUGUGAUGGAGAGGGAUGAUGAAGUCAAUCCAGAAGUUUGUACUUUGUAGCUGUGUCUAAUUUGCCAGAAUUACAAAUAUGAGACUCACCCGUUGGUUUAUUGUAGUCCUUAGGUAUGCCAGAGGUAAUAUGGAAAGACAUCUUGGUGGAUUUUAUUACAGGUCUUCCUCAGUCUCAAGGAAUAGAUUGUGUGUUGGUUGUGGUAGAUAGACUAACAAAAUACAUAUGUUUCUUAAGUUUGAAGCACCCCUUUACUGCUAUGUUUGUAGUUGACCUGUUUGUCAGGGAAGUGGUGAGGCUACAUGGAAUGCCAAGGCCCAUUGUGAGUGAUAUGGACCCUCUGUUCCUUAGCAUUGCUGGAGUGAAUUAUUCCGUUUGCAGGCACUAAGCUGAAGAUGAAAACAACUUAUCAUUCAGAAACGGAUGGACAGAUUGAUUUCUAAAUAGAUGAUUGGAAACUUAUUUGAGGUGUUUUGCAUUAGAGCAACCAAAGUAGUGGCACAAAUGGUUACCUCAGCCAAGUACUGGUAUAACUUGGGUUACCAUACUGCUUUAGGAAUGACACCCUUUGUGAAGCUGUUUCUGGAGACCUCCUCCCAUCAUCCAAUAGUAUUUGCUAGGGGAAACAAGGGUUGAGGUUGUAGCCCAGGAGCUAGCUGACGGAUUAGAUAUUGGGGCAGACAGGCAGCUGCAAUUUAACCUAGAAGGGCUCAACAAUGAAUGUCUACGGCUGCUAAUAAGCAUAGUCAUGAUGUUCAAAUCAAUAUUGGGGACUCUGUAUUUCUCAAACCCAAACCACAUAGACAACACUCUAUUCGAAGUAGAGUCAACCCAGAAUUGGCAGCUCACUUCUAUGGCGCUUGUAAAGUGAUCCAAAGGCUAGGGUAGGGUCUGUGGCCUACCAUCUACUACUCCCUGAAGGAGUUCGUAUUCAUCUUAUGUUUCAUGUUUCACAAUUAAAAAAGGUGAUGGUUGAACAUGAGGAGGUUGAUGAAUUGCCCAAAUAGCUGUUGGUGGAUGAAGACAUGGUGGGACCAGAAGUCGUUCUGCAGAAACAAAAAUUGAAGGUUGAAGGAACAGAAAUAGAACAAAUUCUGAUUAAGUGGAAGGGCUAGCCCAAAGAGGAAGCUACAUGGCUGGACAUUGUAGACCUCAAAAACCAAUUUCCUUACCUCAGUUCAGCCUUGAGGACAAGGUACUUUCUUUGGGGAUGGCUGUGUUAUUGAUCAAGGAAAACGACCAGAAGGAAAUGUGAGAGGCUCGAGACAGCUCAAAGUAUAUUAUAGAAGGAAGAAAAGAGAAAUGAGGGAAUCGAGCAAUACAUUAAUGGAAAGGGCAGCGAAGGAAGAUUCAGGAAGCAUGCAAAGAGGAGAAAGGAAGAUGUCAUAACCUGGAGAUUCUAACUGAAAAAGGAGGGUUUUAGGAGCCUAUAAAUAGAGCAGAUGAUUGAGGGAAGGGGCAUGCAUUUGUUUCCUUCAAUUUCCAGCAUUUGUACUUGGGGAAAGAACAUUGGUCUUGCUCGGGAACAAGCUUCUGGAUUAAGAAUUCUAGUUAAUUUCUUUAUAUUUCUUGAUCAGUAGAUGUUCAUUGAGAGGGAGCUGAGGGCAUUUUGCUUUUGUUAUCACAGUUAUAUUAGAAAUCAAUAUAAGUUCCAUUUAUAUUUCCCUCUAUUAUUCUUCAUUCCUUACUCUAUUAUUCUUCAUGCAUUUAUAUUUCCCUCAAUUAUUCCUCAAUUAUUUUGCUUCAUACUCUCAAAUUGCAUGUACGUGUAGAAAGAAUUGCUGAUGUGUAGUACUGAUCGAAAAAUGUCUUGACACUCGUGAGUGCAUCUUUUUAUAACAGAAGUUGUGAAGCUAGGACAAAUUUUCAGGAAAACACUCCACUUAUCCUUGUAAUUACUUAUUUGGUUCUCAUGAAUGUUUCAAUUGCUUGAAUGCGUAGGUAUGUAUUCAAUAAUAUGAGUGUUCAUCAUUCACAAAAAAUUUACUGUACUAAUGAAAUAUAAUAACACUAGUCUAAUCGAAACUUGGAAGAUGCAUUCUACAUUUUACAUGUGUAACUACUUAAUUUUAUAAUGAAAUGGGGCAAAUCUUCACAAUGUGUCAUCAUUCAUGUAUCAAAUUUAUCUUGAAAAAAUAUCUGUGGUAGGCUAUGAUGAGAAUCAAUAUUUCCGAUAGUGGGCAUACUGAUACUGAGAUGACAAUGUUUGACAGGUAGCAUCCAUGUUCUUC
Molecule: unclassified non-coding RNA, 2848 nt
Filed under: Hevea brasiliensis (rubber tree)
Lineage: Eukaryota; Viridiplantae; Streptophyta; Magnoliopsida; Malpighiales; Euphorbiaceae
Source: RNAcentral